UGUAGAGUUGCCGGCGGGUAUUUUGGGUCGCCACCGCACUCGACUUGCCGCGGCUAGGUAAAAGAAGGAGAAGCUGUCCUCUUCGGGUAAAGGGGGAAGGACAAGGAGGGCGGCGAGGAUAGCACGUUCUUGAACCAUGGUGUCUCACUCUCUCUCUCUCCUUGCUAAGCAACUACGGUACCUCGGCGGGUUCUCCGUCGACCGGGACUGCCCUCGGCCGCGUCCGGCCCUCCUCCGCUUCGCGGACGCGCAGCCCCAGCGGUUGGGGUCGCGGCGGCCGACCGUCCGCGGCUGUAGCGGCCGCAGCGGCCCCUGCGCCGAGUACGCCGCCUGGCACGAGCAGCACGAGAAAGAUGACGCUUACUCGCUGCCCUAGUGCCACUGCCUUUCGUAGAGGGUCUAACCAGCGUACCAAGUCUCCUUCUACCUUCCCAAAGUUUUCCAAGUCCGAGAAUACUACGCGGUUAACCUUUUAAAGCUCCUCUUCUACCUCCGGUUUAACCUUUUAAAUCUCCUCUUCGACCUCCCGUUUAACCCUUUAAAUCUUCUCUUCUACCUCUCGUUCUCGGUCCUUCACUUCCUCAACCGUACAAAAGUAAGGUUAUCUGUGCGACUAUUUGUGGGUUCUAGUCUUGGUAUAGUCCUCCCACGGUGAAACUCACUUGGCUUACGGUUGUAAGCGGACGCAAAGGACCUACCGGACUUCUGAGGUUAAAUGUGUCUGUUCUAAUAUCGUAGACUCUCGUUACGCCGAUAGUCCUAACCGCAGAAACUACCACUGUUUUACUAGUUACUUCCGGGCGAAAGGUUCCGCUUUCAACUCUAGGACCAAGAGGCACCGCUGAAGACGUCACUGCCAGUCCUCUCAACCUGACUUCUCCUCAAGUUGUCGGUGUAUCGCGUUCCGGCCGUGUCCGUUCCCAGUCACGACCCCCCGCUAACGUCACGCACCAACUUGUUACCCCUCCGUAGUAACCCUUUUUAGACGAAGUCUCUUCCUAGUAGGUCCUGAGGGUCAUCCUUCAAGUAGCAGCCUCCUUCUCAUACGUGCUUGUCCUUCUAGCCACCAUAAGCUCAGGUCCUUCGACAGUACCUCGGCCAGUGACACGACCUAGCAUCUUUACUUCGUUUACUCUUCUCCGUGGGAGGUUCUAACCUGCUACUUCAGAUAGCGGACCUUCUUUAGAGGUUUCUACCUUAAAUGGUGUCCUCCGAAUUCCUACGAGUCUAUAAGUUUCAACUCCUGAAGGAAUUCCGAAACUUAUUUCUACGUCUGCUCGAGGCACUUUACCAGGAGGUCUAGUUCUUCGCGUCAUUGCGAACCCUUUCUUACCAAUUCGUACGGUCCCUUACGACGGAGCGUCUGUCCGGGCUCGAGUUUCGUAUAGUGUCACAUCUACCCUUACAUCACUAGAAGAAGUUAACGCACGUACUAGAACAACCUCGUUAAAAAAUACCACAAAUGUAAAGUGCCCUGUUAAAACUAGGCCGAUUCUUCCGAGUUCGCAUACUCAACUUUCUCACACGCGCGCCAGUCAACCUGUAGGAGGGCAAACUGAUACACUACUUACCGUUAGAAGGACUUGUUCAAGGGAGAUCGUGUGUAAGAUGAGACCUACGUCGUAAGUAAGAACCCGGCCUACGGCGCGAAGUUGGUUUACUUUUGGUCAACGUCAUGUCCUAGUUGUUAUAGUGACUUGGUAGAGUGGUCUUACUCAUAUAAGUACCACUAGUCUCGUGUCAAUUGUGUGUAAUAAUGGUUCCUCUUUCAUAAGAUGGUCAACCAGUCGUCGUUGGAUGUUAAAAGUGACCUAGUCCAGUUCACUUGUAGGUAUCGGUCUACGUUCGAGGGUACAGGUACCUACCGCCUUCACAGUACGUCCGUAGUUGGAGACAAGUCGUGUUGGAAGACAGUGUUGUUAAACGAGGAUGAGUUCAGGUUCUUUCAUACGUACCCUAGGUAAUGAGACUCUUAGGUGGAUUGGUACGGCAACCUGGUAGCUGUACCGUGCUACUAUAAUAGGGACGUGCCCUCGGAUCACGGUUAGAUAAAGGGCCUGGCCUAAUACCCUUGAAGAUCGUUCGCUCGUGAAAGGUGUUACGUCAAAUCCCGCACAUGGUAGUACCAAACACACAACACACAGUGGUGUUGAAUCCACAGUCCAACACUAUAUGUCAUCAUGAACAAUAAAAGUCAUAGUCCGUAACAUCUGACAUACAAACCUGUGUUUUAACGAACGGGGGUAAGAAAGGACAAUCUACAAAGUUGUAACAUGUUACUACAGCACACCCUAGAUUCCCACACAACAUUGAAUCCGUUUUGUAAAACAAAACACGCGCGGGUGACUACAAAUUAACUACAAAUAUACAAAACCUUACAAAUGCUGAUAUUUGACGGUCUGACUAUAACAACUCAUUCUCUUUUG
This 2426-nucleotide ribosomal RNA is filed under the name Triticum aestivum (bread wheat). RNAcentral describes it as "partial small subunit ribosomal RNA". The record is from RNAcentral. Lineage: Eukaryota; Viridiplantae; Streptophyta; Magnoliopsida; Poales; Poaceae.